Molecule: long non-coding RNA, 1404 nt
Organism: Rhododendron vialii
Lineage: Eukaryota; Viridiplantae; Streptophyta; Magnoliopsida; Ericales; Ericaceae
Exons: 3
Source: RefSeq, a predicted model, not a curated record
GCAGUCUACAACUAUCGCAAUAAUCUAAGAUUCUGAACUGUUAGAGUGCCUAUUUGUUCUGUCUAUUAGCACUAGCAUAGAUUACUAUCUGUAGCUCUCCUGCAUAUACAACAUGCAAAAAUUAAGUGAAAGAGUUGGUGUGCCAUAAUUACGACAAUCCUGCGUAAUUGUGUUCUUUUCUUGAGGUAUUGAAUGGCUUUUUUUUUACCGAUACCUUCUGUUGAAGUCUAAGUGCACUAAUCAUCAGAGAUCCAAAGAUCAUGUAUAAUCAUUGCUCUCUUUUUGUGUUAUGGUCUGAGCCCAUGGAUUAAUUUUGUGUGCCAUAUUGGACGAAGAAAGAACCAUUUUAUGGCAGCCUGUGUUGAUAUUACUCCAUCAUUGCAUUUUGGUUGUACCUUGCUCAGCUUUUGGAAUAAAACUUACAUUCUCCAUGCCAAAUGCUUUUUGGUAAUGAUUUAUGAGUCAAAGUCAAACCGCUUGCUGAUUCAUAUCCCGUGGGACUUUGAUACAGGGGAAGUAUGAACAAGAGUAUGAGCGUUCAGAUACAUUUCAGAAAGAACUAAAACUGAAGGUUGGAGAGAUCUUUAGUUCUUGACAGAUCAAGCUUGAAGCUCAGCCUUGCAUUUUUUCCUUAUGGUUUUAGCUACUGUGCUUUUACCAUUUUUAAUGAAGAAGAGAAAAAAGAAAGUGUGAGCAUGAGAAGCAGUGGGUGCCUUCAAGAAGGUAAUUUUCUGAAUCCUUCAAUUUAUAUUUUCCAACACGGUCAUCUUUAAGAUUACUAGCUAUGUUCUUUGUUCAAUUUAUGUGUCCUCGCUUUUGUACAGUGUGCUAGAUUGGCAUAUUAAUAUGCACUUCAAUUGUUGCGUAUCGUGCUUAAUGAGCUUUCUGCCCUUGGCUUUUAAUUUGUAUUAGACUUUAUACACUGGCAUGACUAAAACAUGGAAGCACUUUUCGCUGUAAAAUGUAGACAAGGGCUACAAAAGGCUACCAAAAGAAAGUCAGCUUCAUCCCCAAAUCUGAAGCAUUAGUAUUGCUGAUUGCCGUGGUCUUCAGCAUUAUCUCCCCGUGCAUGUUGAGGAGGCAUUUCACUAGCGAGAGAUCGAAUAUGCAGGUCGAAAAUAGGUGUCAAUAAUUUUGGAGAUGGAGCUAUUGGGUCCUUUGUUAGACAGCUGAGGUCAAUAGUAAAAUAGAGUAGUUGGUUUAGGUUGGUACGAGCCAUAGCACAUGCAAUUGUACAGUUUCUUUGAUUUGUAUUCCCUAACUUUAAAAAAAUUGCUUGAUUGUUUUGGAAUUCAAUGCACUAAAUUUUGAUGAUCCUAUGUAGAAUUUUUGAAAAUUGCAUGAGCCAGGGCUGUUGGUCAAUGCUUUUGAAUUUGUCUUAAGGCACAGGCUCAUUUGCUAUCA